UGCGUGCGUGCAAGAUUAAACAAAAUUGCAUACAUCAGUGCAUAUGCAUGGAAAGUGUCAAGUAUUAUUUUUUUAGUUAUGUGGAAACUAUCCAAUAUUUGUUCUGUGAGUAUCACUUUUCUAGCUUUCUUCCGAAUAAUGUGCAUAUCACGUUUGGAAUUCAUCCACUGAAGCUUAGCUAAUUUAUUUGGUUCUUAGCUACAUGGAUUAACUCCUAAACUCAGAAACCAAUUUUUACUAGGAGCUGCCGCACGUGUUAGGAAAUAAUAAGGCUAAAUCUAACACUGUCAUACAGGUAAUUUUCAUCGAGAUGUUUUAGAUCCAACAGUAGUCGAUGCUGCAUGGAGGCGAUGAUCGGCCAAUGUUCAAGAAGAGGGGCAGCAGCUGAGAGACUAUGCUUUUGGCCAUCUUUGCGACGACGUUUGGAUGGAAGUUCACGAAUCAGAUUGAGAUUUAGUUCUUUAUUCUUGUGUGUGGCCGAACCAUGUUUUGUAAUUGAACUAUCACCUGUGUAUCUUGUGUAAUUGUGGUAGAGGCUGCAACUUUGUUCCCUUAUCUAAGAGUAUCUUCAAUAACUUGGUAAAAAUCACUUGCUAUAAAUCAUUAGUUUUAGCAAGUCGCUAUUUUAUAUGGCAAGUCAAAAAAGAUCUCUCUCCAACAAUUUAUAGUAUUCUAACUUGGUAAAAUCACCAUAAGCGUGGUUUUUUUCCUGUGGCUAUUUGCAAAGUAAACACAAAACUUUCUCUUAAUCAAUCAAAUCCA
This 762-nucleotide long non-coding RNA is filed under the name Sorghum bicolor (sorghum). Its description in RNAcentral is "long non-coding RNA (SBIC_LNC014875)". Lineage: Eukaryota; Viridiplantae; Streptophyta; Magnoliopsida; Poales; Poaceae. The record is from RNAcentral.